Molecule: ribosomal RNA, 253 nt
Filed under: uncultured bacterium
Lineage: Bacteria
Description: partial 16S ribosomal RNA
Rfam family: Bacterial small subunit ribosomal RNA
Source: RNAcentral
UACGUAGGGGGCAAGCGUUGUCCGGAAUUAUUGGGCGUAAAGCGCGUGUAGGCGGCCAGAAAAGUCCGCUGUGAAAACUCGAGGCUCAACUUCGAGCUGUCGGUGGAAACUUUCUGGCUAGAGUCCGGAAGAGGAGAAUGGAAUUCCUGGUGUAGCGGUGAAAUGCGCAGAUAUCAGGAAGAACACCAAUGGCGAAGGCAGCUCCCUGGGACGGUACUGACGCUGAGACGCGAAAGCGUGGGGAGCGAACAGG